AACGAACGCUGGCGGCAGGCUUCAUACAUGCAAGUCGAGCGGAAAGGCCCCUUCGGGGGUACUCGAGCGGCGAACGGGUGAGUAACAGGUGGACAAUCUGCCUUUCGGUGGGGGAUAACGGUUGGAAACGGCCGCUAAUACCGCAUACGAUUGUUUGGCCGCAUGGUUGAACAAGGAAAGGGGCUACUGCCCCGCCGGAAGAUGAGUCCGCCCCCCAUUAGCUAGUUGGUGAGAUAACAGCCCACCAAGGCUUCGAUGGGUAGCCGAGCUGAGAGGUUGAUCGGCCACACUGGAACUGAGACACGGUCCAGACACCUACGGGAGGCUG
This 328-nucleotide ribosomal RNA is filed under the name uncultured Candidatus Sumerlaeota bacterium. Its description in RNAcentral is "bacterial SSU rRNA". It matches the Rfam family "Bacterial small subunit ribosomal RNA", at positions 29 to 351 of the family's 1533-position model. The record is from RNAcentral. Lineage: Bacteria; Candidatus Sumerlaeota.